RNAcentral lists this ribosomal RNA (277 nucleotides) under uncultured bacterium. RNAcentral describes it as "partial 16S ribosomal RNA". It matches the Rfam family "Bacterial small subunit ribosomal RNA", at positions 28 to 316 of the family's 1533-position model. The record is from RNAcentral.
GAUGAACGCUGGCGGCGUGCCUAACACAUGCAAGUCGAACGGGACUCGCAAGAGUUCAGUGGCGACCGGGUGAGUAACACGUAGACGACCGACCCUAAAGUGGGGAACAACCUGCCGAAAGGGAGGCUAAUACCGCAUGAGCGCUGAGCUUUGGGGUUCAGCGCAAAGCCGGAAGGCGCUUUGGGGAGGGUCUGCGGCCCAUCAGGUAGUUGGCGGGGUAACGGCCCACCAAGCUGAUGACGGGUAGCUGGUCUGAGAGGACGAUCAGCCACACUGG